CUUACGGGAGGCAGCAGUGGGGAAUAUUGCACAAUGGGGGAAACCCUGAUGCAGCGACGCCGCGUGAGUGAAGAAGCGUUUCGGCGCGUAAAGCUCUGUCAGCGGGGAAGAAACACGGUUCGCGAGAGCCGCGGACGGUACCCGACCAAGAAGCCCCGGCUAACUACGUGCCAGCAGCCGCGGUAAGACGUAGGGGGCAAGCGUUAUCCGGAAUGACUGGGCGUAAAGGUUGCGUAGGUGGUUUAGUAAGUUGGCGGUGUAAUUCCGGGGCUCAACCUCGGCGCUACCGCCAAAACUAUUAGACUAGAGUGCAGGAGGGGUAAGUGGAAUUCCUAGUGUAGCGGUGGAAUGCGUAGAUAUUAGGAGGAACAUCAGGGGCGAAGGCGACUUACUGGACUGUAACUGACACUGAGGCACGAAAGCGUGGGGAGCAAACAGGAUUAGAUACCCGAGUAGUC
RNAcentral lists this ribosomal RNA (458 nucleotides) under uncultured bacterium. RNAcentral describes it as "partial 16S ribosomal RNA". It matches the Rfam family "Bacterial small subunit ribosomal RNA", at positions 338 to 795 of the family's 1533-position model. The record is from RNAcentral.